AUGUGAAUUGCAAUUCAGUGAAUCAUCGAGUCUUUGAACGCACAUUGCGCCCCCUGGUAUUCCGGGGGGCAUGCCUGUCCGAGCGUCAUUGCUGCCCUCAAGCACGGCUUGUGUGUUGGGCCCCGUCCUCCGAUCCCGGGGGACGGGCCCGAAAGGCAGCGGCGGCACCGCGUCCGGUCCUCGAGCGUAUGGGGCUUUGUCACCCGCUCUGUAGGCCCGGCCGGCGCUUGCCGAUCAACCCAAAUUUUUAUCCAGGUUGACCUCGGAUCAGGUAGGGAUACUCGCUGAACUUAAGCAUAUCAAUAAGCGGAGGAAA
Molecule: ribosomal RNA, 316 nt
Filed under: uncultured fungus
Lineage: Eukaryota; Fungi
Description: eukaryotic LSU rRNA
Rfam family: 5.8S ribosomal RNA (bases 1-88)
Source: RNAcentral